Molecule: small nuclear RNA, 107 nt
Organism: Zalophus californianus (California sea lion)
Lineage: Eukaryota; Metazoa; Chordata; Mammalia; Carnivora; Otariidae
Source: Ensembl
GUGCUCGCUUCGGCAGUACAUAUACUAAAAUUGGAAUGAUACAGAGAAGAUUAGCAUGGCCCCUGCGCAAGGAUGACACGCAAAAGAAUGGAAUAAAGUUGAAUGAA